Long non-coding RNA from Coccinella septempunctata (seven-spotted ladybird), 746 nucleotides. RefSeq lists it as uncharacterized. Lineage: Eukaryota; Metazoa; Arthropoda; Insecta; Coleoptera; Coccinellidae. The record is from RefSeq and is a predicted model, not a curated record. The transcript has 3 exons.
ACCAUGCCUCCACGUUCGGUCCCUCUCGACCACCGCAACUGACUCACCGCGAAUAGGAGGAUUGGUCCUUUGCCCAGUUGUUCGAAGGCGUCCGCGCGCUCAAGUGAUCGACCAGGCUUUUCAAGAAGUGGGUGCCGUCGGACGUUCGAAAUGAUUCGAACGUCCGGCAGCUCCGACCACCUGUCCACUAAACCCUCGCCCAAUCCAUCAAAUUCCACUAUUAUGGGGUCAAAUCUCGGCACGGACCACAAUCUACCCGGAUGAACGGCAAGGGGGCGCUUCGAGACCGAUAGGGUGCAAGAACACCCCUUGAGGGUGAGCCGAAGCAACAGGUGCGUAGUGUCUGUGACCCCACUUCGGGUACCAGCGCGGCCAACUUGAUCUCUCCCAAGUCGGUCAGAGCCAGCGCCAACGUUGAUGUCGAAAUCACGACGGACGGAAUCAAAGAAUUACCGUCUCUUUUGUCUGCAAUGAAAGGAAAGCAGUGCUUGGAAUAGAUCUGAAUAGUUAGUAGUUAUAACAUUGUAUACGUAAAUUUGUAUGAUUAUUUUUUAGAAGUUUACCAAUAUUUUUGAUGGGAGUUUGUAAAUUUUCUCCUCUUGUAGUGUAUUUAUUAGUUAUAAUUCAUCAAUUUCUUUAUCUAAGCAAAAGUUUCAUUUCAAAAGGAGCAAAAAGUUAGAAGAAGGUGAGAAAAGUAAGUAUGGAGAAACAUUGUUUCGACGUUAGAAUUUCUCUGUCGAUUAAAA